AGCGAACGUUUGCGGCGGGCUUAACACAUGCAAGUCGAACGGGCUGUUCCUUCGGGGGCAGUCAGUGGCGCACGGGUGCGUAACACGUAGGUAAUCAACCCUCUGGUUGGGGAUAACACUUCGAAAGGAGUGCUAAUACCCGGUAUGGCGCAGCGGUCUUCGGAUCGCGGCGAGAAAGACCCGCAAGGGUUGCCAGAGGACGAGCCUGCGGCCCAUCAGCUAGUUGGCGAGGUAACGGCUCACCAAGGCGAAGACGGGUAGCUGGUCUGAGAGGAUGAUCAGCCACACUGGAACUGAGACACGGUCCAGACUCCUACGGGAGGCAGCAGUGGGGAAUAUUGGACAAUGGGCGCAAGCCUGAUCCAGCCACGCCGCGUGUGUGAAGAAGGCCUCGGUUGUAAG
RNAcentral lists this ribosomal RNA (402 nucleotides) under uncultured bacterium. Its description in RNAcentral is "bacterial SSU rRNA". It matches the Rfam family "Bacterial small subunit ribosomal RNA", at positions 29 to 429 of the family's 1533-position model. The record is from RNAcentral.